GGAUGCGAUCAUACCAGCACUAAAGCACCGGAUCCAUCAGAACUCCGCAAUUAAGCGUGCUUGGGCGAGAGUAGUACUAGGAUGGGUGACCCCUGGGAAGUCCUCGUGUUGCAUCCC
Molecule: ribosomal RNA, 117 nt
Filed under: Ananas comosus (pineapple)
Lineage: Eukaryota; Viridiplantae; Streptophyta; Magnoliopsida; Poales; Bromeliaceae
Source: RNAcentral